AUGGGUUCUUACAGAGAAGAAUACCCUUUGUCUCAAGAGCUGGAGAAGUGUCAAGCCCAGCUAAGGGCUGCCAGUGCCAAAAUAGAGGAAUCCAAGAAGGCCUCAUCUGAUAAGUCCGGAGUGAAUCCGGAGAUCCUGCAAGAGGAUGAACAAAGAACGCAACAACAACUAGAAGCCGGCGAGCGUGUACUUACACGAGUCAGGCAGGAGAAAAACGAUCUCCAAGAUGCCAAUAUCCGGAUGGGCAUAGAAUUACAAGAUGUUCGGGCUCAGCUGUCUGACUCCAUGAAGGAGAAUAGAAGGCUUCAACGCGUCAUUUUUAGUAUGCUAACCGGUCGUCCCGAAGAAGAGAUGCCCAGAUCCACAGGUGAUCUGUUGCAAGAGCUUUCACAACUGCACAGACAAGUUUGGCAGGUAAUGCAGGGUGUCUCCAAGGCCUUGUGGCCAUCCACCUCCCUGCCGGGAAGCAUGGGGGAGCUUGUUCAACUGCUCAAGGGAGCGUGGUGGCGAUUCCGACUAUGGAAGAUAUCUGCCUGCCGUCAAGGUGCGAGGGAAGCUUGGGCCAUGGUAAAAACACGGUAUACCAAGAUCCGAUCGCAUGGCCCGGGUCGGACCUGUAGGGCCUGA
Molecule: ribosomal RNA, 627 nt
Filed under: Triticum aestivum (bread wheat)
Lineage: Eukaryota; Viridiplantae; Streptophyta; Magnoliopsida; Poales; Poaceae
Description: partial small subunit ribosomal RNA
Source: RNAcentral